UACGUAGGGGCAAGCGUUGUCCGGAAUCAUUGGGCGUAAAGAGCGUGUAGGUGGCCCGGUCAGUCCGCCGUUGAAAGUCCAGGGCUCAACCCUGGAAUGCCGGUGGAUACUGCCGGGCUGGAGUCCGGAAGAGGCGAGUGGAAUUCCUGGUGUAGCGGUGAAAUGCGCAGAGUAUCAAGGAGGAACACCAUGGCGAAGGCAGCUCGCUGGGACGGUACUGACACUGAGACGCGAAAGCGUGGGGAGCGAACGG
Molecule: ribosomal RNA, 253 nt
Filed under: uncultured bacterium
Lineage: Bacteria
Description: partial 16S ribosomal RNA
Rfam family: Bacterial small subunit ribosomal RNA
Source: RNAcentral